UGUGUGUGUGUGUGUGUGUGUGUGUGUGUGCGUGCGUGCGUGCGUGUGUGUGUGUGUGUGUGUGUAUCCCACUGCAGCUCCUUGCAGCUGUCAAGCCAGAGGGUGGUGAGUAAGCACAAUUUCUGUUCUCAGAUGAGGUACUUCAGAGCUGUGAGCUGCUGUAGUAGGAGGGGGAGGGCUGCCUGCUCCGGCUGAUGGUCGUACAGUGAAACUUGGCUUCCAAGACGGCCAGCUAAGGAGAUCUGUUGUGCACAUGCUGAGGAGACAUGGCCCGAGGCCUGGGAGCAAUCUUUAACCUGGGAUCUCAAUUAUUUAUUGAAGGCUCAUUGUGUGCACAGAGCAUGACAGCUGCCACCUCGCAGCUGUUGAGCAGCACCAACACACAACCAUCAUUUUCUCUUGCGUAUAGAAGCUGUUAUCCUGAUGUGGUUCAAGAUUAUUCCAAAUGUUUCAAUCUUCAUUGUGAUGAACAAACUACCUCCUCCCUCUUUAAACACACAUGCAUAUCCUCUAUUUACAUGUGUGACAGAAACACAUAUUUGACUGGUUGACCUAGUCUGCACCAUGUUUGCUCUAAAGGUGUGUUUAGUUUGAAGCAUACUUUGGCUAGAAGCAGCUAUGUCAAUCCAUACUACAAGACAUUAAACAACUAUGAGCAGACUUAUUUUCUUUGUAAAUAAAUCCUUAUUUUUCGUAAUAAAAUGAUCGACAUGCAGGUAAUGAAAUUAAAACAGUUGUUAUAGCUGUUGGACUGUAUUGAAGAGUGUCCAGUGAUCUGAGGAGAAGACUCUUGUCCCUAAACCUGAGUGGACUCUCUCUAAAAAUUUAAUCCAUGGGGAUAUUUUUGCAUUAAUAAAUAAGUCAUACCCUAUUUAAUCUUCCAGGACAGGAAAGUGCUGUCACACUCACACAGGACUCUACCUGCAGAAACCAUUGGCUUUAGAGACCUGCAGCAGAGAGGACCAGGUGUACAAAUUAAAGGUGGUUGUUUGCAUCUCUGGAACUAUCAACAGGACUCUGGCAAUCACACAGGUAGGUCUGAUGUUAUUAGAGUAAGCCAUGCGUUUUGUUUGAGUGGAUCUGAUCCAUUCAGCCAAGCUUCCUCCAUGUCUCUCUAAAUAUGAAGUCUGUCUGCUGGAUCACUCUCGGGUGGUGUGGUAUUUUGAUUUCCUCUAUGUGUGCAAAAAUGCUGUAGGCCUCUGUUAUGAAAAAUUGCCAAUGUGGUUUUAAAAUCUUGAAGUGUCCUUUAAAUAAGGUAAGUAUGCACUAACAGCUGACUAUCUUCA
Xyrichtys novacula (pearly razorfish) is the source of this 1286-nucleotide non-coding RNA. The record is from the annotation of a GenBank genome assembly. NCBI's taxonomy places the organism in Eukaryota, Metazoa, Chordata, Actinopteri, Labriformes, Labridae.